GACCAAUCAGGACUGGGGGAACACUGCAAACCUCUGCAGUGAGAGAGAGAGAGAGAGAGAGAGAGAGAGAGAGAGAGAGAGAGAGAGAGAGAGAGAGAGAGAGAGAGAGCGCGAGAGAGAGAGAGACAUAGAACAAGGGAGAGAGAAGAGAGAGAGGAGAGCAGAGCGGGAUAUAGAGAGAUACUUGGAGUGUGAUGGUUCGCACUCCUAUCUAGACAGUUAGGCAGGGAGGAAGCGCAACAGAGAGUUGGUGAGGUGAGUAUUCACAAACAUGUCCAUAUGGAUGGAUAAGAAAAAAAGGGGGACAAACGGAGAAGAAAAAACUCACCAACAUCCCUGUCAGGACUAAUCUCUGUGGACUUCUUCUCUGUCUGGGAGGGAAAGAACAUCUGUCAGUUGUGUGACCGUUGUAUGUUCAUCAAUAUUCAAUCCCAAUUCUUGGAUUGCUGCUGGAGGGAGCAGAAUAUAAACCAGCUGUUUCAAUCGGUCGACCUAGAUUGUUGCAGAGCUGCAAGGAGAGGGGACAGCGUGGUGUAUGGACCAGCUCCAAAGCAUCAGUGUUUACCCUGCAUGGUCACUGAGACAGAAAGAUGUGGCAUUGAAGGACAGACAGAUAAUGUAUGCAACUCCUGCUACCUAAAGACCAAUUCUUGUCUGGGAUCUUUUUGCAAAUCUACCGCAGGCUCUCUGAUGAACUCACUCAUACUGUACUACCUCAUGAGGAUGACCUUCUCCUGAAUCGCUGAGUCAACCCCCCUUCCAUGCACAUAAAAACUGGUGAUCACAAAUGUCUCAGUGAUCACAUGUCAUGGUGAUUGGACACACAUGGACUAAUAAUCUGCUCUACUCACGCCAUCUCCAUUGAGGAUUGAGCAUGUCGAGGGGCAAACUGGAGACCUGUGCUCGAUUUUCAUGUCAAUGGCAGCUGGAACCAGGUGUACAGAGACUGGAGUAAAGUGGAAAGUGAAGGCCUGUUCCAUUAGCGCUCCCAGCGGGGACAUGUGCCUAUACUCUGCCUGGACACACUGACCUCUCCUGGAAAGAUUCUGGACAUUACUAUGGUGUACACUAAAGAAUAUACACGGCCGGCUGACAAACUCUGCCUCUUGGAGUACAAGCUAAUGGAUGUAACUGUUUUUUUGUAUUUACAGAUCUGACUCUCUUUUCACGGAGGACAAAUAAGCAAAAAGCAAGGAUUUGGAUCAUUGUACUAUGAGCAGUACAUUCCAGCCCUGCACAGGGGAAAGAGUCUGUGUUUCUUUGUUUUCUUGGUUGGAUGGGUCUCUCCUGCCUGGGAAUAUCAUGAGAUUAUAAACAGGAGGUGGCCCCGACAUCUUAUCCCUGUUCCACUCAUCCAUCAGCGCUCCCAACAUCGCCAAAGAAAACGGACCAGAGAUCGUAGAAAAAGUCUGGAGAGGACAUUAGCGUUAGAAUUAUUCUCUAAAAUCCACUGGGUGCAGGUGGCUGAUUCUUUAGCUUUCUUACCAUUAAGGUUGUGAAAAAAAGCUGGCAGCCCAUAGACAGUCUUUAGCGAGACGGACAGGUGCUUUUCUGGCUGUCAGCCUCUCUGGGAGGGACUAGCAGUGAAAGGAAAAGCCUCGCUGGGGGGGCUCUGCUGGAGCGGAAACACUUUUCCACUGGCUAUGUUUAGAUGUGAUGCUUGUCUCUGUGGAUACAACAUGGACUCUAUGGCCUGAUUACGCAGCCUUGGUAUUCAGAUAGUGCUGGAGGGAAGGGUAAAUAUAAAACAAAAACAUUUGUUUUUCUCCUUGUCAUCUAGAACC
RNAcentral lists this long non-coding RNA (1784 nucleotides) under Sander lucioperca (pikeperch). Its description in RNAcentral is "lncRNA (ENSSLUG00000006143.1)". The record is from RNAcentral. Lineage: Eukaryota; Metazoa; Chordata; Actinopteri; Perciformes; Percidae.